RNAcentral lists this ribosomal RNA (112 nucleotides) under Candidatus Altimarinota bacterium. The record is from RNAcentral. Lineage: Bacteria; Candidatus Altimarinota.
CUUGGUGCUUUUAACACGGGUGUUCACCUGUUCUCAUUCCGAACACAGAAGUUAAGCCCCGUCGUGCCGAUGGUAGUGCUCAUUUGAGUGCAAGAGUAGGUAGGCGCCAGGA